This 68-nucleotide small RNA is filed under the name Salix viminalis (osier). Lineage: Eukaryota; Viridiplantae; Streptophyta; Magnoliopsida; Malpighiales; Salicaceae. The record is from RNAcentral.
GUCUUAAAUGAUGAUAAAUUUUAUAUAUUUGUUUUUGAAUUAGCACCGGGUUCCAGAGCCGCUGGGCC